Molecule: transfer RNA, 73 nt
Filed under: Cordylochernes scorpioides
Lineage: Eukaryota; Metazoa; Arthropoda; Arachnida; Pseudoscorpiones; Chernetidae
Description: tRNA-Thr
Source: RNAcentral
GUCCAGGAAUGGGAAUCGAAUCCACAAUGUUCCGCUUACCGGGCAGAUGCCAUGUCCACUAGGCUACCCUGGA